AUGAUCUAUUCUCUAGUGUAGAACUUCCCUCCUGAAGCAGGCCUAAUAAUACAAUGUCAGCUGGAAGGGUACGAACAAAGAAAAAGGCAUGUUCUUCAGAGCAGUCUCCAGACAGCCUUCCUCUGAGGAGUUCUGGAAGACAGGUGAAGAAGAAAGCAGCCGAGGCAACAGAUGAUGAUGAUGAUGCAUCAGAAAAGAAAUACAGGAAAUGUGAGAAAGCUGGAUGCACUGCAACGUGUCCCGUUUGCUUUGCCAGCGCAGCCGAAAGAUGUGCUAAAAAUGGGUAUACGUCUAGAUGGUAUCAUCUUUCCUGUGGGGAGCACUUCUGCAAUGAAUGUUUUGACCACUAC
RNAcentral lists this long non-coding RNA (350 nucleotides) under Gallus gallus (chicken). RNAcentral describes it as "long non-coding RNA NONGGAT004067". Lineage: Eukaryota; Metazoa; Chordata; Aves; Galliformes; Phasianidae. The record is from RNAcentral.